This is a long non-coding RNA of Gopherus evgoodei (Goodes thornscrub tortoise), 173 nucleotides long. RefSeq lists it as uncharacterized. Lineage: Eukaryota; Metazoa; Chordata; Testudines; Testudinidae. The transcript is spliced from 3 exons. The record is from RefSeq and is a predicted model, not a curated record.
CUAUAACAAACCCCUAAACUAUGUCUGAGUUAUUGAAGUCUUCAGAUUGUGGUUUGAAGACCUCAAGCUGCAGAUAAUCCACCAGCAAAUGACCUAUGCCCGACACUGCAGAGGAAGGCGAAAAACCUCCAGGGCCUCUGCCAAUCUCAACAGCACUGGUGAAAAAUCCCUUC